GAUGAACGCUGGCGGCGUGCCUAGUACAUGCAAGUCGAGCGAACGGACGAGAAGCUUGCUUCUCUGAUGUUAGCGGCGGACGGGUGAGUAACACGUGGAUAACCUACCUAUAAGACUGGGAUAACUUCGGGAAACCGUAGCUAAUACCGGAUAAUAUUUUGAACCGCAUGGUUCAAAAGUGAAAGACGGUCUUGCUGUCACUUAUAGAUGGAUCCGCGCUGCAUUAGCUAGUUGGUAAGGUAACGGCUUACCAAGGCAACGAUGCAUAGCCGACCUGAGAGGGUGAUCGGCCACACUGGAACUGAGACACGGUCCAGACUCCUACGGGAGGCAGCAGUAGGGAAUCUUCCGCAAUGGGCGAAAGCCUGACGGAGCAACGCCGCGUGAGUGAUGAAGGUCUUCGGAUCGUAAAACUCUGUUAUUAGGGAAGAACAUAUGUGUAAGUAACUGUGCACAUCUUGACGGUACCUAAUCAGAAAGCCACGGCUAACUACGCG
Molecule: ribosomal RNA, 497 nt
Filed under: uncultured bacterium
Lineage: Bacteria
Description: partial 16S ribosomal RNA
Rfam family: Bacterial small subunit ribosomal RNA
Source: RNAcentral